RNAcentral lists this ribosomal RNA (496 nucleotides) under uncultured bacterium. Its description in RNAcentral is "bacterial SSU rRNA". It matches the Rfam family "Bacterial small subunit ribosomal RNA", at positions 8 to 507 of the family's 1533-position model. The record is from RNAcentral.
AGAGUUUGAUCAUGGCUCAGGAUGAACGCUAGCGGCAGGCCUAAUACAUGCAAGUCGAACGCUCAGUAGCAAUACUGGGAGUGGCGCACGGGUGCGUAACGCGUACACAAUCUACCUCUAAGCGGGGGACACCUCCUGGAAACGGGGAUUAAUACCGCAUAAUAUGCCGAAGUCGCAUGACUUUGGUAUUAAAGCAGCAAUGCACUUAGAGAUGAGUGUGCGUCCCAUUAGGUAGUUGGUGAGGUAACGGCUCACCAAGCCUAUGAUGGGUAGCCGGUCUGAGAGGAUGGUCAGCCACACGGGCACUGAGACACGGGCCCGACUCCUACGGGAGGCAGCAGUAAGGAAUAUUGGUCAAUGGUGGAAACACUGAACCAGCCAUGCCGCGUGGAGGAAUAAGGUCCUACGGAUUGUAAACUCCUUUUGACGAGGAAGAAAAUGUUAGAUUUAUCUAAUUUUGACGGUACUCGUAGAAUAAGCACCGGCUAACUCCGUG